AGAGUUUGAUCCUGGCUCAGGAUGAACGCUAGCGGCAGGCCUAAUACAUGCAAGUCGAACGGUGGUAGCAAUACCAUAGUGGCGCACGGGUGCGUAACACGUAACUAACCUACCUAUAACUGGGGGAUAGCCCGCCGAAAGGCGGAUUAAUACCGCAUAAGCUACUUGAGUGGCAUCACUCGAAUAGUAAAGAUUUAUUGGUUAUAGAUGGGGUUGCGGGUCAUUAGCUAGUUGGUAAGGUAACGGCUUACCAAGGCGACGAUGACUAGGGGAGCUGAGAGGCUGGUCCCCCACACGGGCACUGAGAUACGGGCCCGACUCCUACGGGAGGCAGCAGUAGGGAAUAUUGGGCAAUGGGCGAGAGCCUGACCCAGCCAUGCCGCGUGCAGGAAGAAGGCUUUCUGAGUCGUAAACUGCUUUUGACAGGGAAGAAUAAGCACUACGUGUAGUGUGAUGACGGUACCUGCAGAAUAAGCACCGGCUAACUCCGUG
This 492-nucleotide ribosomal RNA is filed under the name uncultured Hymenobacter sp. RNAcentral's name for it is "bacterial SSU rRNA". It matches the Rfam family "Bacterial small subunit ribosomal RNA", at positions 8 to 507 of the family's 1533-position model. The record is from RNAcentral. Lineage: Bacteria; Pseudomonadati; Bacteroidota; Cytophagia; Cytophagales; Hymenobacteraceae.